Molecule: non-coding RNA, 146 nt
Organism: Gossypium raimondii (Peruvian cotton)
Lineage: Eukaryota; Viridiplantae; Streptophyta; Magnoliopsida; Malvales; Malvaceae
Source: Rfam
UGUUAAAAAUUUCAUUCUUUUGUACUAGUAAAAAGUGGCGUGACUGACAGAAUAAUAGGACACUAACACGUGACUUGCCAUAUGUACCACAUGCUGAUAUACAUGGACCAGUUUUUAAUAUUAAAAAUAAAUGAAAUUUUUUUACA